RNAcentral lists this ribosomal RNA (565 nucleotides) under uncultured bacterium. Its description in RNAcentral is "bacterial SSU rRNA". It matches the Rfam family "Bacterial small subunit ribosomal RNA", at positions 28 to 638 of the family's 1533-position model. The record is from RNAcentral.
AGCGAACGCUGGCGGCAGGCCUAAAACAUGCAAGUCGAACGGAUCCUUCGGGAUUAGUGGCGGACGGGUGAGUAACACGUGGGAACGUGCCUUUUGGUUCGGAACAACUCAGGGAAACUUGAGCUAAUACCGAAUGUGCCCUUCGGGGGAAAGAUUUAUCGCCAUUAGAGCGGCCCCGCGUCUGAUUAGCUAGUUGGUAGGGUAAAGGCCUACCAAGGCUACGAUCAGUAGCUGGUCUGAGAGGAUGAUCAGCCACACUGGGACUGAGACACGGCCCAGACUCCUACGGGAGGCAGCAGUUAGGAAUCUUGCGCAAUGGGCGAAAGCCUGACGCAGCCAUGCCGCGUGAAUGAUGAAGGUCUUAGGAUUGUAAAAUUCUUUCAGCGGGGACGAUAAUGACGGUACCCGCAGAAGAAGCUCCGGCUAACUUCGUGCCAGCAGCCGCGGUAAUACGAAGGGGGCUAGCGUUGCUCGGAAUUACUGGGCGUAAAGGGCGCGUAGGCGGACAGUUAAGUCAGAGGUGAAAGCCCAGGGCUCAACCUUGGAACUGCCUUUGAUACUGGCU